CCUACGGGUGGCUGCAGUGGGGAAUAUUGGACAAUGGGGGCAACCCUGAUCCAGCCAUGCCGCGUGUGUGAAGAAGGCCCUCGGGUUGUAAAGCACUUUCAGUGAGGAAGAACGCCUGGUGGUUAAUACCCAUCAGGAAAGACAUCACUCACAGAAGAAGCACCGGCUAACUCCGUGCCAGCAGCCGCGGUAAUACGGAGGGUGCGAACGUUAAUCGGAAUUACUGGGCGUAAAGCGCGCGUAGGUGGCUUGAUAAGCCGGUUGUGAAAGCCCCGGGCUCAACCUGGGAACGGCAUCCGGAACUGUCAAGCUAGAGUGCAGGAGAGGAAGGUAGAAUUCCCGGUGUAGCGGUGAAAUGCGUAGAGAUCGGGAGGAAUACCAGUGGCGAAGGCGGCCUUCUGGACUGACACUGACACUGAGGUGCGAAAGCGUGGGUAGCAAACAGGAUUAGAUACCCUGGUAGUC
This 465-nucleotide ribosomal RNA is filed under the name Vreelandella stevensii. Its description in RNAcentral is "partial 16S ribosomal RNA". It matches the Rfam family "Bacterial small subunit ribosomal RNA", at positions 338 to 795 of the family's 1533-position model. Lineage: Bacteria; Pseudomonadati; Pseudomonadota; Gammaproteobacteria; Oceanospirillales; Halomonadaceae. The record is from RNAcentral.